GUGAGUAACACGUAGGUAAUCUGCCGUAGAGUGGGGGAUAACCCAUGGAAACAUGGACUAAUACCGCAUAUACUCUUGACACAUAAGUGUAGUAGAGGAAAGGAGUAAUGGGCUUUACGAUGAGCCUGCGGCCUAUUAGCCUGUUGGUGAGAUAAAAGCCCACCAAAGCUACGAUAGGUAGCCGACCUGAGAGGGUGACCGGCCACAUUGGGACUGAGAUACGGCCCAGACUCCUACGGGAGGCAGCAGCUGAGAAUCUUCCACAAUGGACGAAAGUCUGAUGGAGCGACAUCGCGUGAGGGAUGAAGGCCUUCGGGUUGUAAACCUCGGAAAUUAUCGAAGAAUGAGUGACAGUAGAUAAUGUAAGCCUCGGCUAACUACGUGCCAGCAGCCGCGGUAAUACGUAGGAGGCAAACGUUGCUCGGAUUUACUGGGCGUAAAGGGUGAGUAGGCGGAACUAUAAGUCUAAGGUGAAAUAUCGAAGCUCAACUUCGGGAACGCCUCGGAUACUGUGGUU
Molecule: ribosomal RNA, 517 nt
Filed under: uncultured Brachyspira sp.
Lineage: Bacteria; Pseudomonadati; Spirochaetota; Spirochaetia; Brachyspirales; Brachyspiraceae
Description: bacterial SSU rRNA
Rfam family: Bacterial small subunit ribosomal RNA
Source: RNAcentral